RNAcentral lists this ribosomal RNA (373 nucleotides) under Spondylurus fulgidus. Its description in RNAcentral is "partial 12S ribosomal RNA". It matches the Rfam family "Bacterial small subunit ribosomal RNA", at positions 795 to 1374 of the family's 1533-position model. The record is from RNAcentral. Lineage: Eukaryota; Metazoa; Chordata; Lepidosauria; Squamata; Scincidae.
CUUAGCCCUAAACAUAGACAAUACAAACACAAUAUUGUCCGCCAGAGAACUACAAGUGAAAAACUAGAAACUCCAAGGACUUGGCGGUGCCCCACAUCAACCUAGAGGAGCCUGUCCUAUAAUCGAUAAUCCACGUUGUACCUUACCAUUUCUAGCAACUCAGCCUAUAUACCGCCGUCGAAAGCCUACCUUAUGAAAGAAACAAAGUAAGCAAGAUAGUAAACAACUAAAACGUCAGGUCAAGGUGUAGCAUAUGAAAUGGAAGAGAUGGGCUACAUUUUCUACUUCAGAAAACACGAACAGCACAAUGAAACCUGUACUCGAAGGCGGAUUUAGUAGUAAGACAAAAAAGAAUUUUUGCCUUAAACCUGCU